This 403-nucleotide ribosomal RNA is filed under the name Verrucomicrobiota bacterium. Its description in RNAcentral is "Verrucomicrobia bacterium partial 16S ribosomal RNA". It matches the Rfam family "Bacterial small subunit ribosomal RNA", at positions 355 to 776 of the family's 1533-position model. The record is from RNAcentral. Lineage: Bacteria; Pseudomonadati; Verrucomicrobiota.
AGGGGAAUAUUGCACAAUGGGGGAAACCCUGAUGCAGCGACGCCGCGUGAGCGAAGAAGGCUUUCGAGUCGUAAAGCUCUGUCCUAUGAGAAGAUAAUGACGGUACCCAGUGAGGAAGCCCCGGCUAACUACGUGCCAGCAGCCGCGGUAAUACGUAGGGGGCUAGCGUUAUUCGGAGUUACUGGGCGGAAAGGGUGCGUAGGUGGUCUUUCAAGUCGGUAGUUAAAGGCUACGGCUCAACCGUAGUUAGCCUCCGAAACUGGAAGACUUGAGUGCAGGAGAGGAAAGUGGAAUUCCCGGUGUAGCGGUUAAAUCCGUAGAUAUUGGGAGAAACACCAGUGGCGAAAGCGGCUUUCUGGACUGCAACUGACACUGAGGCACGAAAGCGUGGGUAGCAAACAGG